This 433-nucleotide unclassified non-coding RNA is filed under the name uncultured Gyromitra. RNAcentral's name for it is "sequence contains ITS2". The stretch from base 1 to 154 matches the Rfam family "5.8S ribosomal RNA". Lineage: Eukaryota; Fungi; Ascomycota; Pezizomycetes; Pezizales; Discinaceae. The record is from RNAcentral.
AACUUUUGGCAAUGGAUCUCUUGGUUCCCGCAUCGAUGAAGAACGCAGCGAAAUGCGAUAAGUGAUGUGAAUUGCAGAAUUCAGUGAAUCAUCGAAUCUUUGAACGCGCAUUGCGCCCCCCGGUAUUCCGGAGGGCAUGCCUGUUCGAGCCUCAAUAAAACCUCUCCCCGGUGGGCCACUCUGCAGAGAGGGGCCCUUCCUUUGGGGGUCAUGGUGGACCCGCCGGCCUUCAAAAGCCGUCUGGCCACUCAAAUUCUUGGUCUGCAGGCCACGAGGGGUUGCACCUCGACGUAGUGAUCGUUUUCAUCGUCGGAAGGCACCCUCAUGUUCCUGGGACCUUAAGCGUCCGUCUUGGAUGCCCACCCCCAAAUCAGUUGAGCUCGGAUCAGGUAGGGAUACCCGCUGAACUUAAGCAUAUCAAUAAGCGGAGGCU